CCUACGGGUGGCAGCAGUGGGGAAUAUUGCACAAUGGGCGGAACCCUGAACCAGCGACGCCGCGUGGGUGAAGGAGCGUUUCCGCGCGUAAAGCCCUAUCGGCAGGGAAGAAGGAGGACGGUACCUGACUAAGAAGCACCGGCUAACUACGUGCCAGCAGCCGCGGUAAUACGGAGGGGGCCAGCGUUAUCCGGAUGUACUGGGUGUAAAGGGGGCGCAGACGGCAGCGCAAGCCAGGAGUGAAAGCCCGGGGCCCAACCCCGGGACUGCUGUUGGAACUGCGCGGAUGGAGUGGAGGAGGGGCAGGCGGAAUUCGUGGUGUAGCGGUGAAAUGCGUAGAUAUCAGGAGGAACACCGGUGGCGAAGGCGGCCUGCUGGACUGCGACUGACGUUGAGGCCCGAAAGCGUGGGGAGCAAACAGGAUUAGAUACCCGUGUAGUC
This 441-nucleotide ribosomal RNA is filed under the name uncultured bacterium. RNAcentral describes it as "partial 16S ribosomal RNA". It matches the Rfam family "Bacterial small subunit ribosomal RNA", at positions 338 to 795 of the family's 1533-position model. The record is from RNAcentral.